RNAcentral lists this ribosomal RNA (426 nucleotides) under uncultured bacterium. RNAcentral describes it as "bacterial SSU rRNA". It matches the Rfam family "Bacterial small subunit ribosomal RNA", at positions 354 to 796 of the family's 1533-position model. The record is from RNAcentral.
GUAAGGGAUAUUGCGCAAUGGGCGAAAGCCUGACGCAGCAACGCCGCGUGCCCGAGGAAGGCCUUCGGGUCGUAAAGGGCUUUUAGGGGAGACGAGUAAGGACGGUAUCCCGUGAAGAAGUGUCGGCUAACUACGUGCCAGCAGCCGCGGUAAAACGUAGGACGCGAGCGUUAUCCGGAGUUACUGGGCGUAAAGGGCGGGCAGGCGGGCCGGCCAGUUGGGUGUGAAAUAUCCCGGCUCAACCGGGAGGGGCCACUCAAAACAGUCGGUCUAGGGGGCAGCAGAGGUGCGUGGAAUUCCGGGUGGAGUGGUGAAAUGCGUAGAGAUCCGGAGGAACACCAGAGGCGAAAGCGGCGCACUGGGCUGUAUCUGACGCUGAACCGCGAAAGCCAGGGGAGCGAACGGGAUUAGAAACCCGAGUAGUCC